UACGGAAGGCAGCAGUGGGGAAUAUUGCACAAUGGGCGAAAGCCUGAUGCAGCUAUGCCGCGUGUAUGAAGAAGGCCUUAGGGUUGUAAAGUACUUUCAUCGGGGAGGAAAAACAAAACUAAUAAUUUUAUUUCUUGACGUUACCCGAAAAAGAAGCACCGGCUAACUCCGUGCCAGCAGCCGCGGUAAUACGGAGGGUGCUAGCGUUAAUCAGAAUUACUGGGCGUAAAGAGCACGUAGGUGGUUUUUUUAAGUCAGAUGUGAAAUCCCUGGGCUUAACCUAGGAACUGCAUUUUGAAACUGAAAUACUAGAGUAUCGUAGAGGGAGGUAGAAUUCUAGGUGUAGCGGUGAAAUGCGUAGAUAUCUGGAGGAAUACCUGUGGCGAAAAGCGGCCUCCUAAACGAAUACUGACACUGAGGUGCGAAAGCGUGGGGAGCAAACAGGGAUUAGAUACC
RNAcentral lists this ribosomal RNA (456 nucleotides) under uncultured bacterium. Its description in RNAcentral is "bacterial SSU rRNA". It matches the Rfam family "Bacterial small subunit ribosomal RNA", at positions 340 to 786 of the family's 1533-position model. The record is from RNAcentral.